ACUUUAUGAGUAUAUCUGUACGCUUGUUUUCCAAACAAGAAAUUAGGACACCCUAAUAAAGUA
Molecule: transfer RNA, 63 nt
Filed under: Branchipolynoe pettiboneae
Lineage: Eukaryota; Metazoa; Annelida; Polychaeta; Phyllodocida; Polynoidae
Description: tRNA-Gly
Source: RNAcentral